This 301-nucleotide ribosomal RNA is filed under the name uncultured bacterium. RNAcentral's name for it is "bacterial SSU rRNA". It matches the Rfam family "Bacterial small subunit ribosomal RNA", at positions 334 to 632 of the family's 1533-position model. The record is from RNAcentral.
GCGGCCUACGGGAGGCAGCAGUGAGGAAUAUUGGUCAAUGGACGAGAGUCUGAACCAGCCAAGUAGCGUGCAGGAUGACGGCCCUAUGGGUUGUAAACUGCUUUUAUAAGGGAAUAAAGUGGGAGUCGUGACUCUUUUUGCAUGUACCUUAUGAAUAAGGACCGGCUAAUUCCGUGCCAGCAGCCGCGGUAAUACGGAAGGUCCGGGCGUUAUCCGGAUUUAUUGGGUUUAAAGGGAGCGUAGGCCGGAGAUUAAGCGUGUUGUGAAAUGUAGAUGCUCAACAUCUGCACUGCAGCGCGAA